Long non-coding RNA from Engraulis encrasicolus (European anchovy), 1426 nucleotides. RefSeq lists it as uncharacterized. The transcript is spliced from 3 exons. The record is from RefSeq and is a predicted model, not a curated record. NCBI's taxonomy places the organism in Eukaryota, Metazoa, Chordata, Actinopteri, Clupeiformes, Engraulidae.
AUCAGUUUCAAUAUUAAGAAAUGAAUGUCACACCACUCACCAAUAUAUUUCGUGAUCCACAAACAAAUGUAAUAACAUUCGCAAAUAUAAUUCAUACAUUUCAUGAUCCACAAACAAAUGUAACAACAUUCACAAAUAUAAUUCAUGAUGCACAAAUGAAUGUAACCCCAUUCACAAAUGCCAGCGCAGUUCUAUUCAUUUGCAAACCGGUCUACAUAUAUUCGCAAACCCUAUACAUAUUUGUGACUUCCAUUGUAUUUGUGUGUGGAUUUUUGAGACUGUCCUGACGGUAUUUGACACACAAAUGUGCUCAGCCAAUCACAUCAGCCGGCGUUCGAGCGUAAGGUUGAAAACAUUGCGCUUCUAUUACGCAGAGAAGGCUACAAGCGCGAAGCCACCAUAGAUCUGUAUUAUACACCGAUCCGAGGAAAUAACCGGAAGUAGAGCGGCCGCCUUUACUGAAGUGCUCCCUGACGUAAACUCGUAAUUGAAGCGUGUGAAGUUACUGACUUUCACAUCAUCUUUGUACAAAUAUGUCUGGAUCUGGACUAACGUGUGCCGUAAUCGGAUGUCACAAUAACAGCAGAAAGCUAAAAAUGUGGAAAAAGAGCGUAUGUGCGCUUCAUAGUCCAUAGUUUGAAGAGGAUUGUCCUUGUUGUGUGCCCUACGGUGUACACCGCUUCCCCGGCCGUGCUGAGGAUGAAGACAUUCGCAAGAUGUGGAUUAAAAACGUACACCGAAAGGACUUUGCCCCCAAACAAGUAUUCAAGGGUGUGUGGAGUACACUUCCCUGACGGCAGACCAACGCAGGAACACCCAUGAAUAUAGUAAAGCACCAUCAUGUGGAAGACCACCUCAAAGAGGAGAUGUCUCCAGCCCCCAACAGAGAGACCAUGUGAUGAGCCUCCUGUGACAGAUUCUGACACCGAAGUAGGGCAUAGCUUGGAGGAUAGUCUGUCUCCACACCAAUGUGAUGUUGGCACUCAGUGGCCAGAGCGUAGUGAUCAUGAUUAUUGUUCGAUGAAGUCAACAAAAGAUGCAAGCACACAAACAGAUCCUACACCAUCACUGUCAGCUCAUGACAUGGAUGAUAAAGUGUCAAAAUUUUUACACUGGACUAGACAUCAUCAGCUUUUGGCAACUUUUGAACACCAUCAUUGGCUUUCUUCCACAGUCGAAGACGUUCAAAUUACCAGUCCAUGAACAGCUACUGCUGGUCCUAAUGAGGCUUCGGCUUGGCUACAGCCUGUGAUAUGUUCGCAAUGUGGAGAGCAACACUUGCCAAUUUCACAAGGGAAAAUCUUAUGUUUUGGCUCCCUCGAGACACUCUGAAUAGAGUAAGACCCUCAAGUUUUCUUGAACACUAUCCCAAUGCAACAUGCAUCAUAGAUUGCACUGAAAUAUUUGUCCAAAGACCGAAGAACUG